Long non-coding RNA from Setaria italica (foxtail millet), 778 nucleotides. RefSeq lists it as uncharacterized. Lineage: Eukaryota; Viridiplantae; Streptophyta; Magnoliopsida; Poales; Poaceae. The transcript is spliced from 3 exons. The record is from RefSeq and is a predicted model, not a curated record.
CUAGCACGCAAUUAUAACAUCCUUAAUUGUUAGGUUGUGUCUUCGGCUUAUGCGUGCUUUGCGUUUGCGUGGAUUUGGACCUCUGGUGAUUCUCGCGUGCUUUCAGCCUCGAACUCUAGCCUCAUCACCAUGCGGAUUCCCAGCUCCUAGAUCUCGACGUGGCUGGUGAGCGCGAGAACUCCCAGCCUCGUACUGCCAUGUUAGCUCUGGUGAGGAGCGUGGAUUUGUGAAGAUGGGGACAAGCUGUGCAAACACUUCCUUGAUUGAAAAUUCUGAAUUUCUGCUCGUUUAUGUUAUAUCUCAUAUGAAUUACAGAUGCCGUCUUCCUUUCUGCAGCCGUGCAGCCGAAGUUUUCAUGAAUUUUCAACAAGCGAAACCAGAUAUGAGAUUGGGAUCAGAUAUGUCUAGUCCUGUGAUCUUGUCACUCCACUGAGUGAAUUACAUUUUGAAGUAUGUCCCAAAUUUCACACCUAACAAGUAACAAGCAGUAGUGGUUACUUCUGUUUGAGGUGUUACUGUAGGGAGUAUAAUGCUUGGGAAUGUUUCAGUUGCAGUUGUGAAUCAGUCAGUAUUCAGGACGAAUUUGAAAUGACAGGAUAUGCUGCCCAUACCCAGGUCGAGCAAGAACUGAGAUCAGUACUUUAUGAAAGAGAGAGAAGGGACAAAGUUAUAUAUAACAACUUGGAUAUACAUUUUUUGUUAGCUUGAAUGCUUUUCUGAGUAAUUUUUGUAUAUAAGUAUAUAUAUUUUUCCAUUGAAACUAGCUUUUACCGUCAAA